RNAcentral lists this unclassified non-coding RNA (1585 nucleotides) under uncultured fungus. RNAcentral describes it as "sequence contains 18S rRNA gene, ITS1, 5.8S rRNA gene, ITS2, 28S rRNA gene". The stretch from base 613 to 1585 matches the Rfam family "Eukaryotic large subunit ribosomal RNA", at positions 1 to 961 of the family's 3401-position model. The record is from RNAcentral. Lineage: Eukaryota; Fungi.
GGAAGGAUCAUUAUUGAAUAAAAACUUGGCUUUGCUGAUGCUGGUCUCUUCGGAGGCAUGUGCUCGCUGGUCAUCUUUAUAUCUCCACCUGUGCACCCACUGUAGAACUGGGAUUUGGGACUGCUGUGCGUCUUAGCUGACGCCAGCUUUCCUUGCCUCCCCUCCAGUCCUACGUUUUUCACACAUACACCUUAUGAAAUGUAACAGAAUGUCUCACUAGGUCUUUGUACCUAUAAAACGAAUAUACAACUUUCAGCAACGGAUCUCUUGGCUCUCGCAUCGAUGAAGAACGCAGCGAAAUGCGAUAAGUAAUGUGAAUUGCAGAAUUCAGUGAAUCAUCGAAUCUUUGAACGCAUCUUGCGCUCCUUGGUAUUCCGAGGAGCAUGCCUGUUUGAGUGUCAUUAAAUUCUCAACCUUACCAGCUUCUGCGGGUAAGGCUUGGAUGUGGGGGUUUAUUUUUGCUGGCUUGUAAUGAGUCGGCUCCCCUGAAAUGCAUUAGCGGUUGUCUUUGUUCCGACUAUUCAGCGUGAUAAAUUAUCUACACUGCUUAGGCGCGUUUACAAGGCUGCUUCUAACCGUCCGUUCACUUGGACAAGCACCUUAUGACAAUUUUGACCUCAAAUCAGGUAGGACUACCCGCUGAACUUAAGCAUAUCAAUAAGCGGAGGAAAAGAAACUAACAAGGAUUCCCCUAGUAACUGCGAGUGAAGCGGGAAAAGCUCAAAUUUAAAAUCUGGCGGCUUUGUCGUCCGAGUUGUAAUCUAGAGAAGUGUUACCCGCGUUGGACCGUGUACAAGUCUCCUGGAAUGGAGCGUCGUAGAGGGUGAGAAUCCCGUCUUUGACACGGACUGCCAGGGCUUUGUGGUGCGCUCUCAAAGAGUCGAGUUGUUUGGGAAUGCAGCUCAAAAUGGGUGGUAAAUGCCAUCUAAAGCUAAAUAUAGGCGAGAGACCGAUAGCGAACAAGUACCGUGAGGGAAAGAUGAAAAGAACUUUGGAAAGAGAGUAAAACAGUACGUGAAAUUGCUGAAAGGGAAACGCUUGAAGUCAGUCACGCUGCGGGGAAAUCAACCUUGCUUUUGCUUGGUGUACUUUCCCCGUCUGCGGGUCAGCAUCAGUUUCGACCAUUGGAUAAAGUCUAUGGAAAGGUGGCACCUUCGGGUGUGUUAUAGUCUGUAGUCGCAUGCAUUGGUUGGGACUGAGGAACUCAGCACGCCGAAAGGCCGGGGUUCGCCCACGUUCGUGCUUAGGAUGCUGGCAUAAUGGCUUUAAUCGACCCGUCUUGAAACACGGACCAAGGAGUCUAACAUGCCUGCGAGUGUUUGGGUGGAAAACCCGAGCGCGUAAUGAAAGUGAAAAGUUGAGAUCCCUGUCGUGGGGAGCAUCGACGCCCGGACCAGACCUUUUGUGACGGAUCCGCGGUAGAGCAUGUAUGUUGGGACCCGAAAGAUGGUGAACUAUGCCUGAAUAGGGUGAAGCCAGAGGAAACUCUGGUGGAGGCUCGUAGCGAUUCUGACGUGCAAAUCGAUCGUCAAAUUUGGGUAUAGGGGCGAAAGACUAAUCGAACCAUCUAGUAGCUGGUUCCUGC